Triticum aestivum (bread wheat) is the source of this 3384-nucleotide long non-coding RNA. RefSeq lists it as uncharacterized. NCBI's taxonomy places the organism in Eukaryota, Viridiplantae, Streptophyta, Magnoliopsida, Poales, Poaceae. The record is from RefSeq and is a predicted model, not a curated record. The transcript has 2 exons.
UAAAUAAAAAACUAUACUGUCUUAUCCCUUUCCUCUAGUGAAGCUCGGCCACUGUUUCUUCCUCUAGUGAAGCUUGGCCACCGUUUCCCCAAAUCCACAAGACUGCUCCACCCCGGCCGAGCCAGCUGCAAGGGAUGGCCGGAGGGCUGCUGCGAGAGCUGACUGGAGACGGCGCAGCUUCACCGCCACACGUAUCCCGCUGCUAGCAGCAGGGAGACGGCGAAGUACACAAGCAGCAGAGCAACGACGAGAUCUACGAGCCUGACGACAACGGCAAGCUGGAGCCUCCUCCCAACGAGCUCGAGAAGGAAUACGACGCCGGCGAUGUCCCGGAGCAGCACGGCCGACCUGGACGAGGAUGAGGGUAGCAACCAGACGAGGGGCAUGCCUGGGCCGCCGUGCUAUCUUACGGCUGCACGAGGCCUCUGACGGCAGGGUCGCGAUAGCUGGACCUCGGCGCCCUCCUGCCUGGCCAAGCCCCAGUAGCAAAACCAAAGGUCAAUUACUUCUUGUUACCUAGAACUAAUUUAUUCCUUUCUUCAUCAUUAGUUCAUACCGUACUGCUGCUAUUUCUCGAUGACCCAGGCGUGAAAGCAUAGCAAGAGAGAGCUGAGCAUGUCAUUGGAAUAUUUAAAAGUGAUAAGUACUCAACAGAUCAUUGUUGCAAUUAAAUGAAACUAAACUGAUUGUUCUGUCUUCGGAAACUAGGAGUCAAUUGAAAUUAAACCAAUUGAAGUAGUGAGCACUCAACACAUUGGGUCUCAUGUAUGCUGAUUCAGUUAUGCCUUCUGCAUAAUCUCAUCUGGCAAGACAACAUAACAGACAUGCAUCAACCUAUCGUUAUAUCCCAGGAUAGUUUUAUAAGUUCCAAAGAUCACCAGCUUCACUCUGCAAAUUAAAGGGAGAUAUAACUAAUUAAUAAAAAGUCAUAUUGUUUACCAACGAAUUUAAGGAAUGUUAGACAUGAUAAGUGGAAAUACCGUUAGUAGACGAGCAUAGUACCCAUAUUCUUGCAAACCAUUUGCAUUUGUUCCAGUCAUUUGCUCUAUAGGUGCUUGAUACUGUGCUACUGGAAUGUCAUUCUUUCCUCUCUAUGCAAACAUAAAAACAAAAAUCAAAACAAAUAUUAGUUGACUUGUUACUAUAUCAGUCUAUUAAAUAAGUAGUGUAGUUAGAUAGGUGCAAGAGAUUUACAGAAUGAGUUUGAUUUUUCGGUACUGCUAUAGUUGUCUCCUUCUUUUUAUUGGGGUGCUGGUUGCCAAGCCAUGUUUUCUUUCUUCUUGAAUUUUUCUUCGGAAUUUCCUUUUUCUUUAGGGAAGCAUCCUUUAAACAAUCCUCUGGUUCUUUAGAUAUAUCUUCAGUUCUGCAUGUAGUAGUGCGAGUUUUCUCUUCAACUUGCUUCCUAAGAAUCCUCAAAGCAUCAUCUACUAGUUUGAUACACUCUUCUGAUGUUACUGCUUGUGAAGCUAUGCCAAGGAACUCGUGCAUGAAAAACUUCAACUGUUGUCUAUCUUCUGAUCUAGGAUCUUCCAAAACAAUGUUUCCAUGGCUGUUUUCAAUAGUGCCGCUUCGCGCUUCUCGAGUCCAUCGCUUCAAAAUAUAGUGGCCUGGAAGAUACUUAAUAUUCAUGACAUCAAGGGCUUUCAAAGCAUGACUGCACAAUAUACCAACUCUUUCAAAUUGCCCACAAUUGCAGAAAACUUUUUGCUCUUCAUAAUCAACUAGUACUUUGCACUCUUCUUUAUAUGGGAAUUCUGGGUCAAGACUUGCAAUUGCAACAGUAUAUGCAUUGUGUUCUUCCGAUGGCUUGAUGUAUGCUGAGAUGGAUCUUUCAUACUCAUUCUGAAAAUCUUCAAAUAUGCAUGGUGUGUAAACUUUGCUAGCUUGUAUUACCAUAGGAGUCCUCAUUCUGACUCUAGGUAAUUUUUUCCUAGACUCGUAUUCCUCAUUUACCUCGUUAUCUCUUUUUCCUUGCACAACCCUCUCUACGUGCUUGAAAAACCGAAGGAUGUAAAGAGCAUAUUUUAGAUGGUCUUUCAAGUCACUGUUCAAGCUCUCACUUAAUUGUGUGCUUCUCAUGCCUAUAGUGUAAGCAUUCCUCAUGUAACAUCUUGCCCAUUUCUCUUUUACUUUGUAGAUACUGUCCAACCAAGUUUGUGUUUCCACAUUGCUUCUUAUGGCAUUGAAAGCUUCUUCAAAGGCUUCCUCUUCCUCAUACUUGUACAUGCAAGCACUGAAAUCAGCAAGUACAUUUGGUCCUUCCUCGUCUUUUUUCUUAUGAGGUAAGUGUCUGAUGGCAUUUUGCAUUAUGUGAAAAGUGCACAAGCCAUGCCAUACUUCGAUAAAUACUGCCCGAAUUGCAUUACCCAUUGCUACAUCUUGAUCAGUAAAGAUUGUUCUAGGUUGCUUUUUGUUAUGCACUGAUAGGAACGUGUUGAACAGCCAUUUGAAUGAUUCAAAUGUCUCAUCAUAUAAAAGUGCAGCACCAAAAAUGACCAUUUCUCUAAAAUGGUUGAAGCCAACAAACACACCGAAGGGUCUCUACUCUUUGUUUGUCCCAAAUGUUGUAUCGAAGGUAACAACAUCACCGAAAUGAGCAUAGUCAAUGAUCAUCCUUGCAUCAGCCCAAAAGAUAUUUGCUAUAUUUUCAUCACAAUCUAGUUACAUGUCAUAUUCAAAUGCAGGAUUCUCAUUCUUUUUAUCUCUAAAAUACUUGAGCAUACUUCCAACUUCACCAUACAUCAAGUCCCUUUGACGCCUGGUUCGCAAGUGGUUCUUGCGAUCACGACAUGUGUAGCCAAGGUUCAGUGGACUACCAACUUGUCGAUUUGCUAACUCAUGGGCUUUUUUAGGUACAAUUCCUGAAUCAUCCGCUGUUUCAAUUUCAAAUGCUUGCAAGGCCGAAAUUUUCCUCUGUGAUGGCAUCAAGUGGCUUGCCCCAGAAGGAAGACAAAAUGGAGAUAAUCUGCAUCGCCUACAGAUCAGCUUGCCUUGGUUUCACUCUGAACAUGGGGGACGAUCAGAAGAGAGAUAAGGCAAAAGGGAGUUUUUUUUUGAAGGGAGGCAAAAGGGAGUUGAUCUCGCCACCUAAAGACCACAGAUGAACGUACCUCCGCCGUGUUCUUUUACAAGGACGAACAAGAGGAACGGGGAAGAUGAGCAGGACGAAGGCAAAUAGAUCGCUGUUUGUUGCCAACGCGAUUAUUAGGGUGGUGUUUUGUUUGGCGCCAAUGUGAGUCUUUGUGGUUCUGUUUGGCGCCAAUCUUGCAACCGAACGAGAUUUUCUACCACAUAAUUAGGUGUUUGUUUCCAUUUAUUAACAGAAUCAAGUGGAGGUAAUGAGAGCCGUGAGAUUUAAAUGAAUGGCUGAUGUGGGUUGGUACA